Molecule: long non-coding RNA, 394 nt
Organism: Peromyscus eremicus (cactus mouse)
Lineage: Eukaryota; Metazoa; Chordata; Mammalia; Rodentia; Cricetidae
Exons: 3
Source: RefSeq, a predicted model, not a curated record
GACCCAGCUCUCUGAAUGUACUGCAUCUUCUAGGAGAGCAGGAAGGUUUGCUUGACAAUUAUCCAGUUUCUUGCAAGAGGCUAACUCUCCAGAAAGACCUUGGAAUGAUCACAGAAAUCAACACUUGGAUGCUACUAUCUUCGACUUCCUUCUUCCUCUAUGGGGCAGAACCAGUGUGCAUAUUGUAAGGAAGGACAUUGGGCUAAAGAGUACUCCAAGAACAGGAAUAAAAGAGGCAGGGGCCUCCAAGGAGCCACCACCCACUCCAACCAGCCUCACAAAGAGACAAGUGAAGCAGAAGGUGAAGAGCCUGACCACUCAGCUCCAGGUGAUGACGGCCCAAUGGAAUGAUCUGAGAGAUCGCCUCAUCUUAGUAACUGAAGGAUCCUUGGAC